Long non-coding RNA from Myiozetetes cayanensis, 285 nucleotides. RefSeq lists it as uncharacterized. The transcript has 3 exons. Lineage: Eukaryota; Metazoa; Chordata; Aves; Passeriformes; Tyrannidae. The record is from RefSeq and is a predicted model, not a curated record.
UGAGUAUUCACAAAUUCAUCUUGGCUUUGGACUCACCUCUAUGAGGCCAGCAUUUUGACAGGAGACAGAGUUUGGAGAAUGCCUCUUUUUGAACAUUACACAAAACAAGUAACAGACUGUCCUCUUGCAGAUGUGAGUAACAUUGGAAAGUACAGCAGAGCCGGAGGAGCAUGCACAGCUGCUGCAUUCCUGAAGGAGUUUGUGACUGCCUCUCACUGGGCUCAUUUGGAUAUUGCUGGUGUGAUGUCGAAUAAAGAUGAGGUGCCCUAUCUUCGAAGGGCAUGG